RNAcentral lists this ribosomal RNA (253 nucleotides) under uncultured bacterium. RNAcentral describes it as "partial 16S ribosomal RNA". It matches the Rfam family "Bacterial small subunit ribosomal RNA", at positions 524 to 776 of the family's 1533-position model. The record is from RNAcentral.
UACGAAGGGGGCUAGCGUUGCUCGGAAUUACUGGGCGUAAAGGGCGCGUAGGCGGCUCUGUUAGUCAGGCGUGAAAGCCCGGGGCUCAACCCCGGGAGGCGGGUGGAUACUGUCAAGCUCGAGUCCGGAAGAGGCGAGUGGAAUUCCUGGUGUAGCGGUGAAAUGCGCAGAUAUCAGGAGGAACACCAAUGGCGAAGGCAGCUCGCUGGGACGUGACUGACGCUGAGACGCGAAAGCGUGGGGAGCAAACAGG